This 757-nucleotide small RNA is filed under the name Pongo abelii (Sumatran orangutan). RNAcentral's name for it is "processed transcript". Lineage: Eukaryota; Metazoa; Chordata; Mammalia; Primates; Hominidae. The record is from RNAcentral.
AGAGUAUCCCGGGAGCAGCACUCGGAAGGCGGGGAGGAGGCUACUUCUGGGAGUGAGAAGGGGUGGAGCCCAGCCUUUCGGGGUGCUGGGGGGUGGGUGGUCCCUGAGGUGCUCAAUCUGGGGGCCCGCAAUUGAAGCCGGGCAGGAGGCGCAGCUGGGGCGCAUCCUCAAAGCCUGAAUUCCGCGCCCGCCUGUUGCUGGAAAAGGCAGCUUCCUUCGCUGGAGGGGGUGCGCCGACCCACCCCUUCCCCCUCCUGCCUGGGCAUCACGCCAGGCUGGAGGUGUGCCCGGAGAGGCUGAGCAGCCUGCGCCUGAGCUGGUGGAGGUUGAAGUGGGCAGCACAGCCCUUCUGAAGUGCGGCCUCUCCCAGUCCCAAGGCGACCUCAGCCAUGUCGACUGGUUUUCUGUCCACAAGGAGAAGCGGACGCUCAUCUUCCGUGUGCGGCAGGGCCAGGGCCAGAGCGAACGUGGGGAGUACGAGCAGCGGCUCAGCCUCCAGGACAGAGGGGCUACUCUGGCCCUGACUCAAGUCACCCCCCACGACGAGCGCAUCUUCUUGUGCCAGGGCAAGCGCCCUCGGUCCCAGGAGUACCGCAUCCAGCUCCGCGUCUACAAAGCUCCGGAGGAGCCAAACAUCCAGGUCAACGCCCUGGGCAUCCCUGUGAACAGUAAGGAGCCUGAGGAGGUCGCUACCUGUGUAGGGAGGAACGGGUACCCCAUUCCUCAAGUCAUCUGGUACAAGAAUGGCCGGCCUCUG